This 499-nucleotide ribosomal RNA is filed under the name Phelsuma cepediana. Its description in RNAcentral is "partial 16S ribosomal RNA". It matches the Rfam family "Bacterial large subunit ribosomal RNA", at positions 1852 to 2588 of the family's 2925-position model. Lineage: Eukaryota; Metazoa; Chordata; Lepidosauria; Squamata; Gekkonidae. The record is from RNAcentral.
GUCCAACCUGCCCAGUGAACACUUCAACGGCCGCGGUAUCCUAACCGUGCAAAGGUAGCAUAAUCACUUGUUCCCUAAAUAGGGACUUGUAUGAACGGUUAAAUGAGGGCCUAACUGUCUCCUGUAACCAAUCAAUGAACUUAUGCUUACAGUACAAACACUGUAAUAUAACUAUAAGACGAGAAGACCCUGUGGAGCUUAAAGCUACUACAUUAACUAACUACCCCUAACCCAUAGCCAGUAUAAUGUAACCUUUAAGUUGGGGCGACUGUGGAGUAAAAAAAACCCUCCAUGCAACACGACUAAAAAUCGAUCUGCUAGGCUAACAAGCCUUGCCAAAAAAUGACCCAGUAAAACUGACUAUCGAACCAAGUUACCCCAGGGAUAACAGCGCCAUCCCCUUAAAGAGUCCACAUCACCAAGGGGGUUUACGACCUCGAUGUUGGAUCAGGACCCCCAAGUGGUGCAGCCGCUACUAAAGGUUCGUUUGUUCAACGAA